This 253-nucleotide ribosomal RNA is filed under the name uncultured bacterium. Its description in RNAcentral is "partial 16S ribosomal RNA". It matches the Rfam family "Bacterial small subunit ribosomal RNA", at positions 524 to 776 of the family's 1533-position model. The record is from RNAcentral.
UACGUAGGGUGCAAGCGUUGUCCGGAAUUAUUGGGCGUAAAGAGCUCGUAGGCGGUCUGUCGCGUCGGCUGUGAAAACCCGGAGCUCAACUCCGGGCCUGCAGUCGAUACGGGCAAACUGGAGUGUUGCAGGGGAGACUGGAAUUCCUGGUGUAGCGGUGAAAUGCGCAGAUAUCAGGAAGAACACCCGUGGCGAAGGCGGCUCUCUGGGACGGUACUGACUCUGAGACGCGAAAGCGUGGGGAGCGAACAGG